GAAAUGCGAUAAGUAAUGUGAAUUGCAGAUUCCGUGAAUCAUCGAACUUUUGAACGCACAUUGCGCCCGGCGGCACUCCGCCGGGCAUGCCUGUCCGAGCGUCAUUCUCGACCCCUCGGCCUGGGAGGCAGCAGGGCAACUGCCCUCGCUCUCUCUCCUGGCCGGCGUUGGGGGCCUGCGCGCUGUCGCAGCUCCCUAAGUCCACUGGCGUCGUCCGCUGGAAAACCCCCUGCGUAGUAGCUUGAGACCUCGCACCGGGACCAGCUGGCGACCGCCGUAAAACCCCACUAGACGCCCCGCCUGAAAAGGCGAUGGGCACCUAAGGUUGACCUCGGAUCAGGUAGGAGUUACCCGCUGAACUUAA
This 364-nucleotide unclassified non-coding RNA is filed under the name uncultured Ascomycota. RNAcentral describes it as "sequence contains ITS1". The stretch from base 1 to 104 matches the Rfam family "5.8S ribosomal RNA", at positions 50 to 154 of the family's 154-position model. The record is from RNAcentral. Lineage: Eukaryota; Fungi; Ascomycota.